Myotis myotis is the source of this 512-nucleotide long non-coding RNA. RefSeq lists it as uncharacterized. The transcript has 3 exons. NCBI's taxonomy places the organism in Eukaryota, Metazoa, Chordata, Mammalia, Chiroptera, Vespertilionidae. The record is from RefSeq and is a predicted model, not a curated record.
AAAAGUCACAGGCACUGUAAAACUAGAGUCUGAAUAUUUUUCUAUUUGUCUAAGCAUGUUCUGAAAAUCGGGUCUGAGUUAGGCUUUCUUAACACUUGGUCUCCAGGUUACAAAGUGUCCCCAGUCUUGAAGCAGCAUCCAUCACAUGAACAGAGAGAAGGAGACACCAUCAUAAAGAAAAUCCUUCAACGUUUGAAAUCUGGCUCAAGUCAUAGUUAUAAAAUCGAUCUCUCACUCUGGGGAAUGCCAGCUGCCCUGUCCUCAAGCAGCCUUUCAGAGAGGCCCAUGUGGCUGCCAACAACCACAUGAGAUUCCCACCUCACGCCCCGUCAAGUGUUCAGAUGAGACCACAACCCCAGCCAACAGCUUGACUGCAACCUCAUGAGAGACGGAGCCAGAGUCACCUAGGAUGGAUUGAGAUACACUAUAUAGUAACAAUUCCAAACUGUCAGUGAUGUGACAACAGAAGUUCAUUUCAGCUCGGCUGGGUCUGUACUCCUGCAUCUUCAUCA